RNAcentral lists this ribosomal RNA (503 nucleotides) under uncultured bacterium. RNAcentral describes it as "partial 16S ribosomal RNA". It matches the Rfam family "Bacterial small subunit ribosomal RNA", at positions 30 to 523 of the family's 1533-position model. The record is from RNAcentral.
AUUGAACGCUGGCGGCAGGCUUAACACAUGCAAGUCGAGCGGAGUGAUGGUGCUUGCACUAUCACUUAGCGGCGGACGGGUGAGUAAUGCUUAGGAAUCUGCCUAUUAGUGGGGGACAACAUCUCGAAAGGGAUGCUAAUACCGCAUACGUCCUACGGGAGAAAGCAGGGGAUCACUUGUGACCUUGCGCUAAUAGAUGAGCCUAAGUCGGAUUAGCUAGUUGGUGGGGUAAAGGCCUACCAAGGCGACGAUCUGUAGCGGGUCUGAGAGGAUGAUCCGCCACACUGGGACUGAGACACGGCCCAGAUUCCUACGGGAGGCAGCAGUGGGGAAGAUUGGACAAUGGGGGGAACCCUGAUCCAGCCAUGCCGCGUGUGUGAAGGAGGCCUUAUGGUUGUAAAGCACUUUAAGCGAGGAGGAGGCUCUUUUGGUUAAUACCCAGGAUGAGUGGACGUUACUCGCAGAAUAAGCACCGGCUAACUCUGUGCCAGCAGCCGCCGUAA